AACGUAGGACACAAGCGUUAUCCGGAGUUACUGGGCGUAAAGGGCGUGUAGGCGGACGUGUAAGUCUAUUCUGAAAGCUCCUGGCUAAACUGGGAGAGGCGAAUGGAGACUGCAUAUCUAGAGUGAGGAAGAGGAAAGUGGAAUUCCGCGUGUAGCGGUGAAAUGCGCAGAUAUCAGGAGGAACACCGGUGGCGAAGGCGGCUUUCUGGACCGGUUCUGACGCUGAUGCGCGAAAGCGUGGGUAGCAAACAGG
RNAcentral lists this ribosomal RNA (253 nucleotides) under uncultured bacterium. RNAcentral's name for it is "partial 16S ribosomal RNA". It matches the Rfam family "Bacterial small subunit ribosomal RNA", at positions 524 to 776 of the family's 1533-position model. The record is from RNAcentral.